This is a long non-coding RNA of Glycine soja, 592 nucleotides long. RefSeq lists it as uncharacterized. The transcript is spliced from 3 exons. NCBI's taxonomy places the organism in Eukaryota, Viridiplantae, Streptophyta, Magnoliopsida, Fabales, Fabaceae. The record is from RefSeq and is a predicted model, not a curated record.
CCACCGUUUCCCAUUCUCAUUCUCUCUUUUUUUUUCCUACCACCGUUCUCUCUACUUCACUCUCUCCACCCUUUCUCAUUCUCAUUCUCUCUUUCAUUCUCUUUUUUUUUCCUACCACCAUUCGAAGACGAUGCCUUGGUGCUGUUGUUCUCCAAAUGCAGGACGGAAAUGACGGAGAUGCCGAACGAAAAACUCAAAGAUCUGUAGCAUUGAGUAUCUUUGUGACCGACAACAAUAACGAAGACAACAAAUAGUCUCUGGCAUUUGGAGGACAGGAGAAAGCUUCGUUUUCUUUGCUCACAAUGCUGAUGUGGACCGUGCUUACGUUUGGCAAUGUCAAGAGCCUUCAUUUCCGCCCAGAAACAUCGGUGUCAACCUCCAUUUAUUAUUUUUACUAAUUAAUUAAUUAAUAUUAAUACUUUUUAUUAAUUUUAAUUUUAUUGUGCAUUUAAUUCUUUUUGUCUUUUGUGUUGCUUUUGCUCCGGAUGUGUUUAUUCAUUUAUUUCCAUUGUAAAUGUAAAUAUGUAACAAUUAAUUAUUUGUAUUCUAUUCCCAAGACGUUUGCCUUUCCAAUGCAUUUUUCUGUUCCUAA